This 146-nucleotide unclassified non-coding RNA is filed under the name soil metagenome. RNAcentral describes it as "partial internal transcribed spacer 1". The record is from RNAcentral.
UAAUAAGUGUUUUAUGGCACUUUUUAAAUCCAUAUCCACCUUGUGUGCAAUGUCAGUCGGAUCUUCUUCAUGGAGAUCGACCAAACAUCAACCUUUAUCUUUUAACUCUUUGUCUUAAAAAUAUUAUGAAUAAACAAUUCAAAAUA